This 397-nucleotide ribosomal RNA is filed under the name uncultured bacterium. Its description in RNAcentral is "partial 16S ribosomal RNA". It matches the Rfam family "Bacterial small subunit ribosomal RNA", at positions 523 to 918 of the family's 1533-position model. The record is from RNAcentral.
AUACGUAGGGAGCAAGCGUUGUCCGGAAUUACUGGGCGUAAAGGGCGUGUAGGCGGCCGAUCAAGUCAGGUGUGAAAUUUCAGGGCUCAACCCUGAGCGUGCACUUGAAACUGGUUGGCUUGAGUGCAGAAGAGGAAAGUGGAAUUCCCAGUGUAGCGGUGAAAUGCGUAGAUAUUGGGAGGAACACCAGUGGCGAAGGCGACUUUCUGGUCUGUAACUGACGCUGAGGCGCGAAAGCUAGGGGAGCGAACAGGAUUAGAUACCCGGGUAGUCCUAGCCGUAAACGAUGGGUACUAGGUGUAGGGGGUUUAGACGCCCUCUGUGCCGCAGUUAACACAUUAAGUACCCCGCCUGGGGAGUACGGCCGCAAGGCUGAAACUCAAAGGAAUUGACGGGG